UACGGAGGAUCCAAGCGUUAUCCGGAUUUAUUGGGUUUAAAGGGUGCGUAGGCGGAUUGAUAAGUUAGAGGUGAAAUGUCCGAGCUUAACUCGGGAACCGCCUCUAAUACUGUUGAUCUAGAGAGUAGAUGCGGUAGGCGGAAUGUAUGGUGUAGCGGUGAAAUGCUUAGAGAUCAUACAGAACACCGAUUGCGAAGGCAGCUUACCAAUCUAUAUCUGACGUUGAGGCACGAAAGCGUGGGGAGCAAACAGG
Molecule: ribosomal RNA, 253 nt
Filed under: uncultured bacterium
Lineage: Bacteria
Description: partial 16S ribosomal RNA
Rfam family: Bacterial small subunit ribosomal RNA
Source: RNAcentral